This 73-nucleotide transfer RNA is filed under the name Candidatus Woesearchaeota archaeon. Its description in RNAcentral is "tRNA-Thr". It matches the Rfam family "tRNA". From Rfam's summary of the family: Transfer RNA (tRNA) molecules are approximately 80 nucleotides in length. Their secondary structure includes four short double-helical elements and three loops (D, anti-codon, and T loops). The record is from RNAcentral. Lineage: Archaea; Nanobdellati; Candidatus Woesearchaeota.
GCCCUUGUAGCUCAGCUGGUAGAGCACCGCUUUUGUAAAGCGGUUGUCGCAAGUUCAAGUCUUGUCGGGGGCU